ACCCACAGUGCACUGCUCCCUCCUCCUUCUGUCCAAGGUCACGCCACCUCCCUCACCUUUUUUUUGUAGGUCAUGAGGGAUGACCGUGACCUUGAGGUGACCUUCUUCAGUGUUCCACCCAAUCAGGCACAGCCAUUGGAAGGAAUGAUGCCCUUAAACUACAUUUCCCAGUAUCCACCACAGAAAAGAAGGUUUGGUACAUCAAAAGCAGGAUAUGUAGUGAGAUGCCCAUUGUGACAUGUACAAAAAUACAACUCCGAGAACCACAACAGAAGGGGCUUGAGUGUCACUGCAGUAUUAGCUUUGGCCCCACAUGGAAGAAGUUACGGGUAGGUACAUGUGUACACACAAAACAUGCCAUUAUCAUUCCCAUGCUUGACUGUAAACACUAGCUCUUUUCCAGGUCAAAGGCUGUGACUGCCAAUAACACACACUUUAUGCACAAGGUGAUCAAGUCACACAUUUAUUUCAACAAAUAGUUUAUUUAACGUAUCACACAAUCCAACAUGCUAAAAUAACGUUUAAUCGAUCUGUGUGUGUGGGUGUCCAUUUUAACACAAGUAAUACACAUUUAACACAUUUAAACAAGGAGUCACAACACCCGUGGUUCGGAAUUGAAUAAAGUUAGCUUUGGCAAGGAAAAGCUCCCAGAAUGCACUCACGGCUGUGAGGGGAUCGCCUACUCUAGCCCUUUUGAGGAACGUUUGUCCAGAUACCGCAGAUGAAAAGCGCUGUCAAGUCUAGGAUAUAAUUUACCAGAAUUCUUGAAUGGCAUGUCAAUCAAUCAAUCAAUCAAUCAAUCAAUCAAUACCCAGGCUGAGUACAAAGGCAGUUACAUUCCCACUCAAAGAUGUGUGAGAAAGUGAUGGGUUUGGCACAAGGGUCUCCUGCUGCUCCUGAGUUAGUCACUAUUUACCUCAGGUGCAUCCCCCACUCUGUAUAUUAAAGGUGGGUGUGAUUCUAAUCCCAUACACUCUGUCAAUUAAAGGUGAGGUGGGUGAUUCUAAUCCCCUACUUUCUGCCAAUUAAUGGUGUGGUCUGUAUUCUAAUCCCACAUACUUGCUGUCAAAUUCAGCUAACUGCUGCUCACCGUCCUCCAGCUUACUGUCCUUUAGGAGCUCAGGGGAGGAGUGCAGCUUUAUUGGCUGUUGAGCUCAAAUAUGAUAUAUCAAAAUAAGAGCCUUUCACCAGAAUCACUGACUGCAUUCUAAUAAAAGGAUGUAAAACAGCACUACCCUCAUAGCGACGACUGACUGACUGACUGGAACUGUGCUGAUCGCUAAUUUGGAGAGGAGUGAGAGGAGUGUUGUCACCUUAUAAUCUUACAAAAAAAUAAAAGGAAAACAAAUAGUACAGUACAAGGACAUUCAAGAACAAACCGUGUGGUAACCAGUUCACAUCUAUGCGUUCAAAGGAUGGUCUCAGACCUGCCGGACAGGGCUGUCUCCAGUGCCUACAUUGAUAACUAGAAAAUGAAGGAUUUUCAAACUUCUUGCAGUAGGAAAUGACCUUGUUUGAACCCCUUUUUAGCACAUACACAUUGGUGGUUAUAGUUAGAUGAGUCCCAUAGCAUUUGUAUGAAGAACUUAUCCACAAUGCAUCCACAAAUGCACAGUAUCCAGUGGGUAUAACCACUCAUUCAUAAAUUCAUUCACACUGUGACAUUAACCUACUGGGACCUUUGCUGCUGAGGUACAUUAUGGCAAGUACAAUAGUCCUUUUUUGCUCUUUGUAUCCCAUAAUUUCAUCAGUCCCCCACUGCGCCGGACCUGGAACAGCAUCUGGGUCCUCGUAGAGACAUCCUCAGUCCGACUUUCCUCUUUUUCUUUCCGUUCUCCUGUGGUCCAUCCUCGGAGGCUUUCCCUUCCUCCCCACCGUCUUCCUUAGGGUCACCCUGACCUUUGCCCUCUGGGUCAGCGGUCUCCGUGGCAGUCGACUCCUUGAUCUGCAGAUCUAGGUGUUUCUGUAUGGCCUGACCCAACUCCUCCGGGUCCACGGCCGCCCCGUACACCUCCCACGUCAUCCCCUCGUCAUCCCACUCCACGUCCCU
Clupea harengus (Atlantic herring) is the source of this 2050-nucleotide long non-coding RNA. The record is from Ensembl. NCBI's taxonomy places the organism in Eukaryota, Metazoa, Chordata, Actinopteri, Clupeiformes, Clupeidae.